Molecule: non-coding RNA, 219 nt
Organism: Arachis ipaensis
Lineage: Eukaryota; Viridiplantae; Streptophyta; Magnoliopsida; Fabales; Fabaceae
Source: RefSeq, a predicted model, not a curated record
UUUACUGAUAUCAUAUCAAUGUUUUACAGUACACAAUGUUUAAAUGCCCUAGGUGAUGAGUUUAAAUUGCUUCCUCUUUGGAGAUAGGCAGAACCUCGCUUUCUUUGGAACAAUUAUAUGUUGGAAGUGCUCAUUGAUAAUAAGUUAGACCCAUACUUACUCCCAGUAGUCCAAGGUUGUUUUCAUUACUUUCAAGCAGCCAUUGGAAAAGAGAUUAUU